UGUGUUAGCAAGAUUUUGCAGAUUGCUCCCUUAACUUGUAAACUCUUCAGCCUCCAGGUGCUGUCCUGCCCUGCCCUCUUUUUGGGCAAAUAGGAGACUCUGGUGGCCACAUCAUAAAAUACUUCAUGCCAAUAUGAACUACUAGCAUUGCUAUUGCUGGUUACAGGAGUGACGCUGAGGACUGAAUGGGCAUUGAAACUGGAAUUGUACACUUGUUCUCAGAGAUGGAUCCCCCCAGAAUAUAGGGCUGGCCUGAUGGAGGCAGCUUAAACAAACACACGACCCAAGUGGAGCAGGAGUUAUAAACUGCCAUAUGUGAAUGAACAAAGGGGCCAUACUAAAGCCUUUUGUGGUAUUUGUUAAUGUUUUUCAUCUGAGCUUAAAAAGACCUAAUGACUUUGCGGUGAGCUGAUGCAUGUGGCUCGUGGCUUUGCAAAAUGAAGGAAAUUCUAAGCCAGUUAUAU
Long non-coding RNA from Mauremys reevesii (Reeves's turtle), 464 nucleotides. RefSeq lists it as uncharacterized. The record is from RefSeq and is a predicted model, not a curated record. The transcript has 3 exons. Lineage: Eukaryota; Metazoa; Chordata; Testudines; Geoemydidae.